GAUGAACGCUGGCGGCGUGCCUAAUACAUGCAAGUCGAGCGAACGGACGAGAAGCUUGCUUCUCUGAUGUUAGCGGCGGACGGGUGAGUAACACGUGGAUACCCUACCUAUAAGACUGGGAUAACUUCGGGAAACCGGAGCUAAUACCGGAUAAUAUUUUGAACCGCAUGGUUCAAAAGUGAAAGACGGUCUUGCUGUCACUUAUAGAUGGAUCCGCGCUGCAUUAGCUAGUUGGUAAGGUAACGGCUUACCAAGGCAACGAUGCAUAGCCGACCUGAGAGGGUGAGGAGGCACCAGGGGAAAGAGACACGGGAAAGGCGAAGACGGGAGGGAGCAGGGGGGAAUAGGCGAAAAGGGGCGAAAGAAUGAAAAAGCAAUGUAGAGGGAGGGAAGAAGGUGUUAGGAGAGUAAACACCUGUUACGAGAGAAGAAAAAGAAAGAAAGUAACAGAGCGGCGCCGGAAGGUACAUAAAAAGAAAGCCACGGCGAACUACGUC
Molecule: ribosomal RNA, 497 nt
Filed under: uncultured bacterium
Lineage: Bacteria
Description: partial 16S ribosomal RNA
Rfam family: Bacterial small subunit ribosomal RNA
Source: RNAcentral